RNAcentral lists this long non-coding RNA (3553 nucleotides) under Cricetulus griseus (Chinese hamster). RNAcentral's name for it is "lncRNA (ENSCGRG00015032771.1)". The record is from RNAcentral. Lineage: Eukaryota; Metazoa; Chordata; Mammalia; Rodentia; Cricetidae.
GGUGAGGGGAGAAGCUAAUGUGCAAGGUUCUUGAAUAAACUGCUUGAAGAAGAGUUGUGGUCAUGUUUCUCUUGCUGGUCAAGAUAGAAGCGACAAAUGGUGGCCCAUACGGGGAACCUCCGUGGGUGAACGGCUCAGAACUUCCUGCAGUCAGGGCAGUCGAGUGGUAAGUCCCAGGAUCAAUCAGAGCCUGUGUGGGUUCCAGAAACGCUGACAAGAAGAGUCCCUGCCUCUGAGGAUGGCGAAAUCAUAACCAGACCAAUGUACCUGAUGCUGACGAUCAUGACGGUGAUGCUGAUGGGGGAUUCUGUCCGUGUUCCUGAAACCACUGCCAAUCACACAUUCUGCUCAAGUUUUCCCUAGAUUUUUUAGUAGCAAUUUAAGUUUAAAUUUACCUUUUUUGCCUUUAGAUAAGGAUAUUAGUCCUGUAGAGGGUAAUGCUAGUUUUGGCUUGCCAGGGAAUUUGUGCUUUUUUAUAGUUAGUAAUAUUAGUCAGAAUAAUGAUGGGUGCCCUGGGAGGAAUGCUUAUCCUUGUCAGUAUCAUUGCUUUAUGGUGUAUCUACAGGAUGAGGGUUUCACAGAGGAGAAGUAAUGCCAUUAUUGCACAAGCCUUCGAAGCCCUGAAGGCAGGGCAGUCUCCUCAGGCUUGGUUAAUGGUACUCAAAAGCUAAGUAAUUACUUCCUCCCCACAGGUUUCUAGACAUAGUACUGCACAUGAAGUGUGAACUUCAUGAAGGGCAAGUCUGAUUGCAUAUGGGUUGGUAUCAUAAUCCCAUCUCUGACAAAAGAUACCGGACUGGUGUGGCACCAGCUUGGCUGAUACCUAGGCAUGGGGCCAUUACAUUGUCCCUUGUUUUCAGAGAUCAGACCCCUACCCUUACCUGUUGUGCUAUAAAAUAAAAAAGGGGGAACUGUGAAGAGCCACAGCCCUAAGAUGGCACCUGGCUGGAUGCCAGGUAGUCCAAGCUUAGCUGUAAACAAGCCUUAUUUGGAAGUGCUUGAGGCAUCUGGUGCGCUUCCUCCUUCUGUGGCCUAUCCGGGAUUGCCAGAUGGCAAGAGCUGAUUGGGCACUGAGCAUCUACUUAAGCGCUUUCGGUGGCUGGGUGAGGGGAGAAGCUAAUGUGCAAGGUUCCUGAAUAAACUGCUUGAAGAAGAGUCGUGGUCAUGUUUCUCUUGCUGGUCAAGAUAGACACGACAUUUAUUUAUUUAUUUAUUUGGUUUUUCUUCGAGACAUGAUUCUUCUUUGUAGCCCUGGCUGUCCUAAUACCUUGUAAACCAGGCUGGUCUCAAACUCACAGAUAUCUGUUUGCCUUUGCCUCCCACGUGCUGGGAUUAAAAGCAUGAGUCACCACCUUGUGACUUAAUUACUGAUUUUUAAUUUAGUAUGGGAUUCUUUAGAAAUAUCAGUAGUAUUCCUUGGCAGCAUUUGAUAUAGAGAUUAUUGUCUUGAGACUUAAAAUCCAUAAAAUUUGAGCCAACUAAUACUUGAUCUUUCUAGUUCUUUACUCCACCUUUCUUGGAUGUAUCUGUCUUCAUUGUUGAAGAAAAUCUAGAUUUUGUAAAACUCUUCAUUGUAAUUUUUUAAAGAAUUGUCUCUAUAUUGUUGAAAGGUGAUUUCAUGGCUAUUAGAAAUUUAAACAUUUCAAGGGACAAGCCUAAAGCAUGUUAAUAACCACAAAGGCAUUUUUUGGAAGAGUGUCCAUAUUAAUCAAAAUUAAUGAGCAUGACUGUUGAUGCUACCAUUUGUGGAUGCUAUUUGUCUGUGGAGAAUCAAAGUUUUAUCAAGGAAGUCAAUGUUUCCAUGUUAUCAUAUUGAAAACAUUGCUCUGUAUUCACAAAUUGAAGGCAGAGAGCUUGGUAUUUCAACUAUUCCUGAACAUAUUUUUUACAAACAUUAUACUUUUGAUCUGAUCAAAGGAAAAUUGCUAUCAUAUGUUGGAUGGAUUUCCCCCCUCUGUUUGCCUGCUAUAAGCAAAAUCCACGAUCUUAACUGGAGACUGAGCACAUGUAACUCUGAAGGUACACUUAUCAAUAGUUUAAAAAAUCUGAUAUUUUAUGUGAUGCAUACAGAUGAUUUUGAUUGAAAUCUUAAAAUCUUACAGUUUUAUAAAAAAUUUAAUUUAUUUACAUUGCACUCAAAAUAUAACACAUAACUCAGAAAAUAGUAGCUUUCCUUUUUAAUUUGUUUUAGCAAUAUUUAAAUAACAGCUCUCAUUUUCAUCAUCAAGUUAUUUAUUCACUAAUUAUCACUCAUCUCACACACUGAUUUGCGUUUUAAAAUAUUAGGUCAUGUUAGUAGGAAAAUUGGGAAUCUAUCCUAAAACUUACUGGGAAAUAGUAAGUGAGCACUGAGUCAAAUCUACACAUCCUCAAAACUUCCAGUCAAAUUGCUGUAUGAACAAGCAAAAAGAAUUCAGAGGCUCCACUGACAUUGCAUUAGUAACUUCCUUAGCUUCUGAUAUUUAGCUGAGCUAGGCAAGGUCUCUUUGAAAUGACUGAAAAAUGGAAGGCUUAUAGAGAAUUAGGUGCUGUAGGAAUGAGGAUUUCUUUAAGCAGAACUCCCACAGACAAAUAUAAAGCAAUUGAGGCAUUUCUACCAGCAUGACUCGAGAAAGUAUUCACAUUAACCAAAACUGGACAAGAGUAGAGAAAAACAAAAGUAGGCUUGGAUAGCACAUAUGACAGAAAGCUGAAAAACAGAAAUUGAAUUGUCAAGCAUUGGAAGAUGGAGCUGAAAUGCUUUGGAGAUUGUGUAAUAAAAUUUCUUGAAAGAAAUAGAGUCAUACAGGAAAGGGAAAAUUGUACCUCCUAAUAGGGAGUGCGUCCACUCACUUGAGCUAGGGUCUUCUCAUUCUUUUGACAUUAAUCUUUGUGUGUUUAUGUUGUGAGUACUAUAUAUUAGAAUAUGAAGAAUAAUCGUAGCUCAAAAGUGAGAGUUUUUUAUUCCUUUUUUAUGUUACUGGUGUUGCUUUUUGUUUGUUUAUUUUUUGCAUACAAAUCUAUUAAUGAAUAUUUACUGAGAAACUAUUUUGUACUAAAUACUGAUUUAGGCUAUGGAGCUACCAUUAUUGUUAGUGCCAAAUGCCUGGAUAUGUUAGAGCCACCUGAUUUAUGAUGUUAUUUAUGUCCAGAGUUUCUGUGUUUAAUUUUUAUCUGAAUGAACUCUCUAUUGAGAGCAAUGUGGUUCUUAAGUUAUCGACUGUCACUGUGUUGGGAUCAAUAUAUGAUUAUAGAUGUAGCAGUGUUCUUUUAUGAAGUUGGGUGCCCUUGAAUUCAAUGCAAAACUGUUUAGAAUUAUAUUAUUUUCCUUUAAUGAAUAUGUGGUGCCCUUCCCUAUUUCUUUUGAUUAGUUUUGGUUUGAGGUUUAUUUGUCAGAUAUUAAAAUAUCUUUACCUUCUGCAUCCUUCUUGGUGCCAUUUGCUUGGAAUAAAAAUUUUCUUCAUUUUACACUAGAGAGAUGCCUUUCGUUGGUGAUGAGGUGUGUUUCUUGAAUGCAGCAUAAAGUGGAUCCUAUUUUCUAAUGCCAACCCUUAGUCUAUGUUUUUUUAUUGUA